Molecule: ribosomal RNA, 242 nt
Filed under: uncultured bacterium
Lineage: Bacteria
Description: partial 16S ribosomal RNA
Rfam family: Bacterial small subunit ribosomal RNA
Source: RNAcentral
GUGAGUAACACGUAGGUAACCUGCCCUUAAGACGAGGAUAACCAUUGGAAACGAUGGCUAAGACUGGAUAGGAAUAUUUGAGGCAUCUUAAAUAUUUUAAAAGACCUAGUAAUAGGUAUACUUAAGGAGGGGCCUGCGGCGCAUUAGUUAGUUGGUGAGGUGAAGGCUUACCAAGACGAUGAUGCGUAGCCGGACUGAGAGGUUGAACGGCCACAUUGGGACUGAGAAACGGCCCAAACUCC